Engraulis encrasicolus (European anchovy) is the source of this 205-nucleotide small nucleolar RNA. RefSeq annotates it as small nucleolar RNA SNORA74. The transcript has a single exon. NCBI's taxonomy places the organism in Eukaryota, Metazoa, Chordata, Actinopteri, Clupeiformes, Engraulidae. The record is from RefSeq and is a predicted model, not a curated record.
CCCAGCGGUCAGUCAGCUGUGCAGGCCUGUCCCGUGCCUGAGCCAGUGUUACACUGCUGGGAGAGAAAGGCAUUGCCAUCAGAGCUCUGUCCAGCUACCACCGUUUUGGUGGUGGCCGUGACUGGGCGAUGGCAGUGCAGUAGCCCCUCUGAGAGUGGAACGUCUCUGGAUGCACCGGAGCAUUCCUAGUCUGGGGUCAAACAUG